UACGUAGGGUGCGAGCGUUAAUCGGAAUUACUGGGCGUAAAGCGUGCGCCGGCGGUUUUUUAAGCCAGAUGUGAAAUCCCCGGGCUUACCCUGGGAACUGCAUUUGGAUCUGGAAGACUAGAGUACGGCAGAGGGGGGUAGAAGUCCACGUGUAGCAGUGAAAUGCGUAGAUAGGUGGAGGAAUACCGAUGGCGAAGGCAGCCCCCUGGGUCGAUACUGACGCUCAUGCACGAAAGCGUGGGGAGCAAACAGG
Molecule: ribosomal RNA, 253 nt
Filed under: uncultured bacterium
Lineage: Bacteria
Description: partial 16S ribosomal RNA
Rfam family: Bacterial small subunit ribosomal RNA
Source: RNAcentral